This 465-nucleotide ribosomal RNA is filed under the name Vreelandella stevensii. RNAcentral describes it as "partial 16S ribosomal RNA". It matches the Rfam family "Bacterial small subunit ribosomal RNA", at positions 338 to 795 of the family's 1533-position model. The record is from RNAcentral. Lineage: Bacteria; Pseudomonadati; Pseudomonadota; Gammaproteobacteria; Oceanospirillales; Halomonadaceae.
CCUACGGGGGGCUGCAGUGGGGAAUAUUGGACAAUGGGGGGAACCCUGAUCCAGCCGUGCCGCGUGUGUGAAGAAGGCCCUCGGGUUGUAAAGCACUUUCAGUGAGGAAGAACGCCUGGUGGUUAAUACCCAUCAGGAAAGACAUCACUCACAGAAGAAGCACCGGCUAACUCCGUGCCAGCAGCCGCGGUAAUACGGAGGGUGCGAGCGUUAAUCGGAAUUACUGGGCGUAAAGCGCGCGUAGGUGGCUUGAUAAGCCGGUUGUGAAAGCCCCGGGCUCAACCUGGGAACGGCAUCCGGAACUGUCAAGCUAGAGUGCAGGAGAGGAAGGUAGAAUUCCCGGUGUAGCGGUGAAAUGCGUAGAGAUCGGGAGGAAUACCAGUGGCGAAGGCGGCCUUCUGGACUGACACUGACACUGAGGUGCGAAAGCGUGGGUAGCAAACAGGAUUAGAUACCCCAGUAGUC